RNAcentral lists this ribosomal RNA (619 nucleotides) under Triticum aestivum (bread wheat). RNAcentral describes it as "partial small subunit ribosomal RNA". The record is from RNAcentral. Lineage: Eukaryota; Viridiplantae; Streptophyta; Magnoliopsida; Poales; Poaceae.
GCGGCGGCGUCGUUCGUCUAUGGCUCUGGGUCAGGCGGACGACGCGGCGGCGGCGGUGGAGGCGCUACUCCCGGUUCACCUUCUUCUUCUCCUACUCCUCCGAGUUCUCCUUCGCGGCUUUCUACUCCGUCGCUAGGUUCAUCCACUUGCUCCUCUUUCGAAUUGGAACAUAGUGACGUGGUCAGACAACCCUACUAUCCCAGAAAACCAAGGACUAUACAGACCCAACAACACUAUAAACCCCCUACGGUUGGGAACAUUGUACUCCUAUUAAUAUACGAAAGGAAGGUUCCGACCUAUAAACCGAAUUCUUUAUAAUAGCAGAUAAAAACUAGACAACGGGACGGACAAGGAAGAAAAGACCGUACGUAGACUACAAAACUCACAAUAAAAUCAAACAAAACAAAGGUAAACGAACAGCUUUCGUAUAAAUGUUGACCUUAACGAUACUCAUGAGUUAGACGGGGAUGUUGUUCGUCUGGAGUAAUGCCUCGAGAAGGAGACGUCGGCAUCAAAACAAAGUCCGCGUCUAACUUUCUCUCUUUGUUAAAAUGUUGAAGAGAAUAGAAAAUCUACUAGAGAACCGAAUCACAACUCUCAGUAAAAAGAGGUAAGAUCC